GACGAACGCUGGCGGCGUGCCUAAUACAUGCAAGUAGGACGCAGUUGCGAACGGGUGAGUAACGCGUAGGUAACUACCUAUUAGAGGGGGAUAACUAUUGGAAACGAUAGCUAAUACCGCAUACUAGUAGAUGGACCUGCGUUGUAUUAGCUAGUAGGUAGGGUAAUGGCCUACCUAGGCAACGAUACAUAGCCGAACUGAGAGGGUGAACUGCCAACCUGGAACGUGGACACGGGCCAGAAACAAACGGGAGGCGGCAACAGGGAAGUUUCGGGAAUGGGGGGAACCCUGAGCGGGCAAACCGGCGGGAGUGAAGGAGUGUUUCUGAUCGUAAAGGUCUGUUGUAAAGGAAGCGGUACUUAAGCAAAAAGGGAAGGCUAACUACGUGCCAGCAGCCGCGGUAAUUC
RNAcentral lists this ribosomal RNA (407 nucleotides) under uncultured bacterium. Its description in RNAcentral is "partial 16S ribosomal RNA". It matches the Rfam family "Bacterial small subunit ribosomal RNA", at positions 28 to 526 of the family's 1533-position model. The record is from RNAcentral.